Long non-coding RNA from Frieseomelitta varia, 293 nucleotides. RefSeq lists it as uncharacterized. The record is from RefSeq and is a predicted model, not a curated record. The transcript has 3 exons. NCBI's taxonomy places the organism in Eukaryota, Metazoa, Arthropoda, Insecta, Hymenoptera, Apidae.
UAAAAGUUAUCGUUUAUCUGAUGACAAUUAGCGAUAAGAUACGAACGAAACCGUUUCGUAGUUAAAACAUUAUCUAUAGUACGAGUGAUUCGAAGCAAGACGGAAAACAUUGAGUUACAGUUUGGCGGUAAUCGUGUCCGUUACUUUCUUUAGUAGUGCGUAUCAAAAUGAAUAUAUAUUGCUGUUUAAAGAGAAAAAUGAGUAACAUGAACUGGAAGGAUGUGUGGUCGCUGUGCAGAGGAAAAAAUAAGGUAAGGUUUGUAAAUUUAUGACAAUCUAAGACAAUCAACGUA